This 495-nucleotide ribosomal RNA is filed under the name uncultured bacterium. Its description in RNAcentral is "bacterial SSU rRNA". It matches the Rfam family "Bacterial small subunit ribosomal RNA", at positions 18 to 518 of the family's 1533-position model. The record is from RNAcentral.
UCUGGCUCAGGAUGAACGCUGGCGGCGUGCUUAACACAUGCAAGUCGAACGGAGUUUUAACGGAAGUUUCGGAUGGAAGUUAGAACUAGUGGCGGACGGGUGAGUAACGCGUGGGUAACCUGCCUCAUACAGGGGGAUAACAGUUAGAAAUGACUGCUAACACCGCAUAAUAUAGCGAAACCGCAUGAUUUUGCUAUCAAAUAUUUAUAGGUAUGAGAUGGGCCCGCGUCUGAUUAGCUAGUUGGUGGGGUAAAAGCCUACCAAGGCGACGAUCAGUAGCCGGCUUGAGAGAGUGACCGGCCACAUUGGGACUGAGACACGGCCCAAACUCCUACGGGAGGCAGCAGUGGGGAAUAUUGGACAAUGGGGGAAACCCUGAUCCAGCGAACCGCCGCGUGAGUGAAGAAGUAUUUCGGUAUGUAAAGCUCUAUCAGCAGGGAAGAUAAUGACAGUACCUGACUAAGAAGCCCCGGCUAACUACGUGCCAGCAGCGGC